RNAcentral lists this ribosomal RNA (468 nucleotides) under uncultured bacterium. RNAcentral's name for it is "partial 16S ribosomal RNA". It matches the Rfam family "Bacterial small subunit ribosomal RNA", at positions 28 to 507 of the family's 1533-position model. The record is from RNAcentral.
GACGAAUGCUGGCGGCGUGCUUAACACAUGCAAGUCGAACGGAAAGGCCCUGCUUUUGUGGGGUGCUCGAGUGGCGAACGGGUGAGUAACACGUGAGUAACCUGCCCUUGACUUUGGGAUAACUUCAGGAAACUGGGGCUAAUAUCGGAUAGGAGCUCCUGCUGCAGGGUGGGGGUUGGAAAGUUUCGGCGGUUGGGGAUGGACUCGCGGCUUAUCAGCUUGUUGGUGGGGGAGUGGCUUACCAAGGCUUUGACGGGUAGCCGGCCUGAGAGGGGGACCGGCCACAUUGGGACUGAGAUACGGCCCAGACUCCUACGGGAGGCAGCAGUGGGGAAUAUUGCACAAUGGGAGGAAGCCUGAUGCAGCAACGCCGCGUGCGGGAUGACGGCCUUCGGGUUGUAAACCGCUUUCGCCUGUGACGAAGCGUGAGUGACGGUAAUGGGUAAAGAAGCACCGGCUAACUACGUG